GGCAGUGUGGUAGAGGUUUGGAUGUUGGACUAGUACCCUGGAGACCAGGGUUCAAAUCCUUGCUUAGUCA
Molecule: non-coding RNA, 70 nt
Organism: Phrynosoma platyrhinos (Desert horned lizard)
Lineage: Eukaryota; Metazoa; Chordata; Lepidosauria; Squamata; Phrynosomatidae
Source: the annotation of a GenBank genome assembly